UGUUUGCACUUAGCGGGAAGGGUAAGAACCUUCGACUAAGGUUCGACUCGAGCGCCAGCGAGAGAACGU
RNAcentral lists this small RNA (69 nucleotides) under Klebsiella pneumoniae. RNAcentral describes it as "partial RtT sRNA". It matches the Rfam family "RtT RNA", at positions 1 to 68 of the family's 130-position model. Rfam says of the family: This family represents a bacterial cis-regulatory element known as RtT RNA. The exact function of RtT is unknown although it is thought that it may be involved in changing the cellular response in relation to amino acid starvation. The record is from RNAcentral. RNAcentral also lists the same sequence under 1 other name. Lineage: Bacteria; Pseudomonadati; Pseudomonadota; Gammaproteobacteria; Enterobacterales; Enterobacteriaceae.